AGGCUGGCCUUCCCCAGAGCUGCAGCUUCGGUGACAGCCUGCUGCUGCCGCUGCGGCUGCGCUCUUUGCCCUUCAGGCUCUCGGCACCAUUGUGAUGCUGUAAUGAAGUAGAGCUGCCCUGUCAGAGCUCAUCAGCAGUCCCGUGAAGGCGGAAUGAAAUCACUUCUGUUGACCCCCCGGCAUAUUUAUAGGCUCGCUCUUUCUGCAGAGGCUGGUGGUUAUCACUUUCCCGUCCCGUGUUGUGUUUAUUCAGCAGCACGCUAAAUCACGCCCGUGUGCAAGUGGAGCAUUCAUCAGGAACACUGAACCCCUCUUUCAGGCUGCCAAACCCAUCCAAUUACUGGGGCUGGAAGGGCCUGCAAAAAAACUCUUCUACCAGGCAAGCCUCGAGAAAUUCCAAGGAACAAAGUUCAGCCAAUAUUUAGAGAAUGGCAUCUGUAAUAACACAGAAGUUUUCCAAGUUGACCCAUGGGCCCCAGGAAAACGUGAAAGAAGGGGAUCAUCGACAAAUUUUAGGGAAUCUGUGACCCCCCCAAAAAAAUUAUGCAAAAAUGAUAGAUCUCAAUGACACUUUUUGGAGACAAUUUCCAUAGCUUUCAUCAGAUUUGAGACGAGACCCAAAAGAUAACUGAAAGCCCCUGCAUUUAAACCAAAAGGCUACUGAUCUUAGAUUUCAAAUAAAAUCUAAUCAAGUAUUUUCUAACUUUUCUUCUUUGCUGCGACUUAACCCCUGAUCUUUACGGGCUUGCCAACAUUUUACGUUAG
This 765-nucleotide long non-coding RNA is filed under the name Equus caballus (horse). RNAcentral describes it as "lncRNA (ENSECAG00000055070.1)". The record is from RNAcentral. Lineage: Eukaryota; Metazoa; Chordata; Mammalia; Perissodactyla; Equidae.